GGGGCCCCGCGCCCCGGAAAGGCGGGGAUAACCACGUGCCGGCGGGCGCGAUAAGACGUAGGUGGAAAGCGUUGUCCGGAUUUAUUGGGCGUAAAGCGAGCGCUUGCGGUUCUUUAAGUCUGAUGUGAAAGCCCCCGGCCCAACCGGGGAGGGCCAUUGGAAACUGGAAAACUUGAGUGCCCAACAGGAGAGUGGAAUUCCACGUGUAGCGGAGAAAUGCGUAAAUAUGUGGAGGAACACCAUUGGGGAAGGCGACUCUCUGGUCUGUAACUGACGCUGAGGCUCGAAAGCGUGGGGAGCAAACAGGAUUAGAUACCCUGGUAGUCCACUCCGUAACCUAUGAGUGCUAAGUGUUGGAGGGUUUCCGCCCUUCAGUGCUGCAGCUAACGCAUUAAGUACUCCGCCUGGGGAGUACGACCGCAAGGUUGAACACUCAAAGGAAUUGAUGGGAUCACCCACAAGCGGUGGAGCAUGUGCUUAAAUUCCACAAAUCACCAAAACAUCAUAAUGUGCCUAGA
RNAcentral lists this ribosomal RNA (518 nucleotides) under uncultured Lacticigenium sp. Its description in RNAcentral is "bacterial SSU rRNA". It matches the Rfam family "Bacterial small subunit ribosomal RNA", at positions 439 to 984 of the family's 1533-position model. Lineage: Bacteria; Bacillati; Bacillota; Bacilli; Lactobacillales; Carnobacteriaceae. The record is from RNAcentral.